CUGCCCGGUGACUUAUAGUUAAACGGCCGCGGUACCCUAACCGCGCGAAGGUAGCACAAUCACUUGUUCUUUAAAUCAGGACCAGUAUGAACGGCCCCACGAGGACUGUACUGUCUCCCCCCCCCAAUCAGUGAAACUGAUCUCCCCGUGAAGAAGCGAGGAUAUUACAAUAAGACGAGAAGACCCCAUGGAACUUAAAACUUUGUACCACUGCCCUAAUACACACCACACCAAACAGGACACAUGAAUACUAGUCUUUCGGCUGGGGCGACCACGUGGAAAAACAAAACCCCCGUGAUGAAAGGAGACACCCUAAUCCAAGAAUUACCAUUCCAAGAAUCAACAAAUUGACAUAAAUUGACCCAAACACUGAUCAACGAACCAAGUUACCCUGGGGAUAACAGCGCAAUCCAUUUCAAGAGACCCCAUCAACAAAUGGGCUUACGACCUCGAUGUUGGAUCAGGGUAUCCUGGUGGUGCAGCCGCUACCAAAGGCUCGUUUGUUCAACGAUUAAAACCCU
Molecule: ribosomal RNA, 521 nt
Filed under: Rhombophryne coudreaui (Betampona digging frog)
Lineage: Eukaryota; Metazoa; Chordata; Amphibia; Anura; Microhylidae
Description: partial 16S ribosomal RNA
Rfam family: Bacterial large subunit ribosomal RNA
Source: RNAcentral